CAUAUUAAAAAGAUAUUUACUGCAACUACCUUUGUAGUAUUAACUAUGAAGCACAUAGUAACCAAAUAUGUCACAAAUAAUAAAAUACGAAUCGUAGAUCUCUCCAUCUGAAUAAAGUCAACUCUACAAAUUCUAAAGAACGUCUAAAAGCACUAAUUUCCCGCUAUGCGCAGAUUGAGGAAAGGGUCGUAUGUCUAUUAUACACAACUAUAUUGUGCAUAUCUAAAGAAUGUCUCAAAUUGCAAAAUCAACUAUAAGUGACUAGUUGCACCAGUUGAUAAGGAUGCUCCAGAAACCAUGUCAGCUUGAUAAAAAUACUUCCUCUUUUCGAAUAGGAAUUGAUUCGAUCUUAUUAUUAGAAUAUUCAAAUUCAACUGAAUAUACUGUUUUCAAGAAGGAAUCACCAUCACCAGUGGAAGUUGAACCAGGCGAUCUCUUCCUCCUGAAGUACAGAAAAAUGAAGAAAAAGCAGUCAAUCACAGGGAAGGAAAUAGAGAAGGUAAGGAACCAAUUUCCUUGUUCAAGCCGGUAUUUAAUAAGUAGUAAGUAAGUGAGAAGUCGAUUCUUUUAUGUUGAGAAAAGAAAUCACUUGCUAAGAUGCUUUCAAUCUUACUUGUGCUCAUAUAUCAAAACCUAAUCCCUGUUCAAACUACCUCAUCUGUGAGUCCAAAGCCAAACAUGUAGUCUUCUUUUUGUGAUCGACCUGAACAAACGAUAAAAGAACACAUUUAGGACAAUAAUGAAAGUUAUACAGCCAAACUGUGAGAGAUUGAUUGUCUUCCAAGUAGUAAAAGCAAGAAGGAAAAGAAUAGAUAGAGGGGUGUGCCCCUUAUCUACCAAGUUUUUAUCCAUGCGCCUCUCAUAAAAAAGGUGGGACGAAAUCAAGAAGCUUUUCAUAUUUCGGCGUCAUUGAGGGAAGGAGAAAUGUCCUCAACCCAAAAUGAAAGUCAUUGGGAACAUGUAUUCUGUGAAGGAGCUACGACAAGAUAGAGAAGUCUAGAUGCAACCUACCUCGGCUGAUAAAAUGAAAUUAAGACCCACGUUCAAGCACUCUUCCAAGAAACCAGCAACACAUCCAUCUUCCUUCUGAGACAACACUGUAAUGAAUGCAAAAUAUUGAAACAAUAUGUUAAAUUCAUGAUAACCAUGGUUGAUUAGAAGUCCUAACGCUGUUGCAAUGAAGCCACAAAAGCAAGAUCAAUUAAUUGAGUUCUCAUAACUAUUGCAAAACGCAUAAUAGCAGCCCACAAAAACUUUCUAUAUGACUAUUGGGCACCAAAGGGUAUAGCCUAGUAGUCAAUGAAGUGGAUUAAGAACCAUGUGGUCUCGAAUCAAAUCCCAGUGAAGGCAAAAAAGCUAGUUGAUUUCUUUCCAUUUAUAUAGGCCUUGGUGGACAAAAUUACAGGUACCAGUGUUGGUGGGUGAUAGUAGGUACACCGUGGAAUUAGUAUAGGUGUGUGUUAGUUGGCCCGAACACCAUUGAAAUCCAAUACAAUAAAACAAAAGUUUUUAAUGUCAACAUUGAAAGUCAAGAGAAUUACUUUAGUUAUAUGCUAGUGCGAACUAGAUUCAUUUUAUAUCUUUAGGUUAAUAGCACAAAUUUCCCUAGUUCGGUCAUAAUUAGGGGUUGGCAUGGUAUGGUAGAUACCAAAACUGAAAUUUUUGACACCACAGUUCCGAUAAUAUGAUAUUUGGCAUGCGUAUUUAAAAAAUUUGGUAUUCGACAUUUAUAACAAGAAUACUCUGUGCAACUUUCUGAACAUAACUUGGUGCAACCAUUCCUGUACUAGCAACUUGCCCUGCAUCAACCUGCAUAUAAAUUAAUAGAUAUUUUUUCUGGGAGGGUUUACUCAGAAACAUGAAUGUUUUGAUGUUCCUGUAUAUUAAUAGCACUGAAAAUGAUAUUACUAGACUUAUACUCGCUCUAGACCAUAUUAAGUGAAUUGUUUAAGUAUGGCGCAACCCUUAAGAAAAAUAUUUAAGGACAUAAAAUUAAAGACCAUUUUCUACUAUUACCUUUUUGAUUAUUUUCAAACUAGUCUCCUAGAAAAUGUAAAGAAGUUAAGAAUCUCAUUAAAUGAAGAGUAAAUAUGGAAAAGAGUUCCAACAAUUUUCAUGAACUUUGAAUAAUUCACUUAAUAUGGACUAUACGGAGUAAUGUGACACAUAAGGGAACUUACCACUAUUCCUUUUUUAAGAAUAUCAGUAUGGUCACCAUUUUUUCUCAUAUUAAGAGUGCAAUGACAUUUGAUUUCUAAGAAAAAGAAGAAUGGCAAGAAAAACUCAAACCAAAAUUGAUGUACCUCCUCAUUAGGUUGUGUUGAAAGCUCAAACAAUGUUCUAAUUGCCAUCAACUUUAGCAAAUGCAUAGGCUGUCAUUUCUUUUGCAGGGAUAAAAGGAAAUUGUAUCACAGCGAUAGCGUAGCCGAAUAAACCAAACAAAAUAUCACUUCUUAUUUUUUGAGUGAAGCUCUGGUAUCAUGUCAAGGACAGAAGGAUUCUCCCUUACAACAUCUAUCAAAAAACCAGUUGUAGUUGCAUCAAAUGAGAAGCCCCUUCCAUCCAUUUCCUUCAUAAAAGAUGCCAUUUCACUAAUUUUGUUGCACCUGAGAAAUCCUUGCACAAUAACAUUAUAAGUGACAUUGUUUGGAGAACAACCGUUGUCUUCCAUUUUUCUUAGAAUAUAUUUAGCUUCAUCAAACAACCCUUCAAAACAAAAUCCAUUAAUCAUUAUAGUGUAUGUUCUCACAUCUGGGAGUAAUCCAAUGAAAGAAAGCUUCUUGAAAACAGCAUGUGCUUUGUUGAGUUUACCAUUUUUGCACAAUCCGUUAAUGACAACCCUAUAAAAUGCAAUAUUAGUAUAUUCUUUGUUUCUUUCUAACUUAUUAACGAGUGCCAUAGCUUCUUCAACAAGUCCGUACUUAUAAUAACCAUUGAGCAAAGUGACAUGAAUGUAUAUAUCAGGCUUGGUCCCUGCAGUUAGCAUCUCAGCGUAAAUUUGCUUUGCAUCACCAGUUCUUCCAACUUCAAAAAGACCUUGCAAGAUCGUAUUGUAGGUAAAAUUAUCGGGUUUUGAUCCCUUUUGGGAAAUUUCACAAAACAAUUGCAUGGCCUCAUCCACUUUCUUUUUCUUACAGUAUCCCUUUAUUAGUACGUUAUAGCUAAUAAUGUCGGUCUCAAUGCCCUUAUCUAUCAUGAUACUAAAAAUUCUCCUUGCUCUAUCUAGUUGACCACGCAAACAAUAUCCAUCCAUCAAUGCAUUGUAGGUGAUUGUAUUAGGCUCUACACCCUUUUCGACCAUGUGUUUCAUUACUUCCUCAGCAUCUUUGACUUUCCCUUCUUUGCAUAGUCCAUCUGUUAUUAUGUUUAAGGUAUGCACAUCUGGAUAAAUAUUAAGGUUCACCAUCUCAUAGAACAAACUCGUAACCUUUUCCCACUGACCAAACUUACACAAACCAUCAAUUAUUGAAUUAUAUGUGACUAUGUCUGGAGGAAUGUCUUUCUGCUUCAUCUCGUUCAGAAUAUUGAUAGCAGCAUCUAAGUUUCCAUCUUUGCAAAGAGCAUCUAUAACAAUGCUGUAGAUAUAUAUGGUGGGCUCAGUAUUACCUUGUUCCAUUAACCGGAGCAAACUUAAAGUCUUCUGAGUAUGACCCCUUUUGCUUAGCCCAUUCAUGACGAUUGCAUACAUGACUUCGUCAGGCUCACAAAUCUUGUCUCUCACCAACUUCUUGAACAAUUCAACUGCAUCUUUGACCUUAUUUUGAGCAAAGAUUCCUUUUAAUAGGGUGUUAAAGGUAACAGUAUUAAAUGGAAUGCCAUUCUUCAAGUAAAUGGGUAACACCGAAAAUGCACAAUCAACCCGAUACAUCAGGCAAUAACUAUUAAUCAUGAUAUUUAAGAUGAAAUCACUAAUUGGGAUGCCCAAUUUCAGCAUUUGUCGAAAAAGAGAAAGGGCACCAGAGUAAUGUUUCAUCUUUAUCAUAGUCUUAAACAAUUGAGAGAAAUGGACAACUGAAGGAAGAGGCUUCAUUGUAACCAUUUGAUGGAAGAGAGUAACAGCAUCAUCUAAAUUGCUACUAUUUACACCAAAUUUAUCCAUUACUGAAAUGGAUUUUUUACUGUAACGGCAUGAAGAAUAAGCUCUAAUUGUAAAUGCCGAACCAGAAAUGGAAGAGAUAAAGGGAAUACCAUUGCAAUUGCGCAGAGAAAUCCUCCUCAUCUUCUUCAAUGGCUGUAUCUCCGUGUGCCCUAAUUUUGCAAGAAACUAAUACAUUCAGCUUCUUUGGAUUUUUUUUUUGUUUGCCAUUCGCUCAUUCCCAUCCCUAAUAUUAGAGCACGACUAAAUUUAAAUUUACCUCGAAAAAUCUUAGCAACCAUCCAAAAAAAGGCAAGUGUCGUUACGCUGUUAAUUUAUUUUUUUUCAUUUUAUUUUUGAAUUAUUAUUUAAUAAUCUUAUUGUAUACUGUUAUUUUUUUUUAAAAAAAAUAUUGUGUACCCUAUGUUUAUUUAUAGUGUUAUAAAUUUAUUCUUUAUAUUAUUGAUGUGUGAUAUUAUGUAACAACAUAAUCGAUACAUUUCAUUCAAAUAUUAUAUUAACUAAAACAAUACAAUAUAUUAUGUAACAAUAUAUAAUAAUCAUCAAAACAAUCUGCAAUUAAUACACUAUGAAAGGUUGUUUGCUUGCUCGUUAAGAAGUAAGUUAUUUAUGUAUUAAAAUUAAUAUUAUAACUAAUAACAUGCUUAAGAUUAGUAUUUUAGUUGCUAUGCAUAAAAUUAAAUACGUUAAUUGAUUACCAUUUUACAAUCUCACAAAUUAUUAUAAAUGUAUAAACUAGGUGAGAUCUAUUUAGUCCCCCCUUGUCCCCCUAUUUACUUGUCAAUUUUUGACUUGACACACCUAUUAAGAAAAUAAUAAUUGACAUAAUGAGUUUACUAUUUUAUUCUUAUUAAUUGAUAGAAUUUCAAAAUCAAGUUACUCAUUAAAGGGGUUCUACCUUUUUCAAAAACAUUAACUCUCUAAAUAAAUUGAGCGUAUAAUAAAUUAAAAAAAAUAUUAUCUUUUCUUAAUUUGUCAAAAAUGACAAGUAGAAAGGGACAAAUAAAGAAUCAAAAUUGAACAAGUAAGAACGUUACAUAGGAGAAAAAUAAAAUGAAGUAUACUACAUGAAUAAUUAAGUCUUCAUCUAGGUGAAUAACUCUAACUAGCGAAAAAACAACCCCUUAAAGGGUAAUUUGUUAUGUAUAAAAUAACUCUUACUUAAAAUAUACAUUUUAAUUAUUUGGAUUUGAACAUGAGAUCUUAUGAUUCUCAAUCCACUUUAUCGAUCAAUUAUACCACCCCCUUGAUAAGUCAUAUUUUUGGAAAACACAACUUUUUUUUUGACCUAACAGAGAAGGCAUGAUUAUAGAUGUUGAAGGAUAUUCAGAAAAUGUGUCUUAUUUCAUGAAACAUGCAUUUAUCUCAGUUAGUUAGAACUCAACUUAAAAUUAAAUUCAAAUGAUUCUAAAGACUAACUUCAUAAACUAAACUUAGAAGGAAAUAUAUGUGUUACUCAAAUCUUAAAGUGUUUACAAGAUUGAAUAUUUCAUAGACAACUAAAAACAUACUCCCUCCGUCCCUAUUUACUUGUCCAUAUUUCCUUUUUUGGUUGUCCCUAUUUAGUUGUCCAUUUUGACAAAUCAAGAAAGGACAACAAAUUUUUUCCUAUUAUACCCUUAUUUACACUUCUUGAAAAUUGUAAAAGUGUAUGUUGUUUCCCUCCAAUUUAUUUCACUUGAAUUCAAAUAAGUGGUUGUAAUUUUGAAGUGAAAAGUUGUCAUAGGGUAAAAUUGUAACUUCACUGUGCUAAUCAUUGUUGCCUUAAUCUGUGUGCCAUUUCUAAAAUGGACAACUAAAAAGGGAUGGAGAGAGUAUCUGAUAGUCAAAGAUGCGUAGUACAUGUGUUGUUGGUGGGAGGUAGCAUGUACUUGCUGAAUAGUUGAAGGUACACACAAGUGGGUCAGAACAGUACCGUCAUUAAAAAAAAAUUAAUGACAACUAUGAUAAAGCUAACACAUGGAGAUAUGAUCAUGUAACAAUUUCAACAUUACAUUUGCGUCCACGCAACCAAAGUUCUCAUAACAGAAGCAACAUUAUUACACCCCAGACUAAUAAGUGCAUUAGAAAGAUUAGUUACCAUACCUAAAGAAUUGGUAAGUGUGCAUUUAAGUACAACAACAAAACAAAUAAGUCUCAAUCCCAAAUCCCUGGAUUUUCACUAAUCACAUCAUACAAUAAAAGCACAUGGAUAAUGUAAAACCCAAAAUCUUGGGUUGUAAAACAUAAACUUUAUAUUUAUUGAUAACCGUGGUGUCUAGGCCAACUACAAGUGACUAGUUGCACCAGUUGAUAAGGAUGCUCCAGAAACAAUGUCAGCUUGAUAAAUAUACUUCCUCUUUUCGAAUAGGAAUUGAUUUGAUCUUAUUAUUAGAAUAUUCAGAUUCAAUAGAAAAUACUGUUUUCAAGAAGGAAUCACCAUCACCAGUGGAAGUUGAACCUGGCGAUCUCUAUCUCCUCAAGUAUGGAAAAAGGAAGAAAAAGCAGCCAAACACAGGGAAGGAAAUAGAGAAGGUAAGGGACCACUUUCCUUGUUCAAGCUGGUAUUUAAUGAGUAAGUAGUAAGUAAGUGAGAAGUCGAUUCUUUUAUCGUUGAGAAAACAGAUCACUUGCUAAGAUGCUUUCAAUUUUACUUGUGCUUAUAUAUCAAAACCUAAUCCCUGUUCAAACUACCUCAUCUGUUCUCUAACUGUGAGUCCAAAGCCAAACUUGUAGUCUUCUUUUUUGAUUGACCUGAACAAGCGAUAAAGAACACAUUUAGGACAAUAAUGAAAGUUAUACAGCCAAACUGUGAGAGAUUGAUUGUAUUCGAAUUAGUAAAAGCAAGAAGGAAAAUAAUAGAUAGAGGGGUGUGCCCCUUAUCUACCAAGUUUUUAUCCAUGCGCCUCUCAGAAAAAAGGUGGGAGGAAAUCAAGAAGCUUUUCAUAUUUCGGCAUCAUUGAGGGACGGAGUAACAUCCUCAACCCAAAAUUAAAGUCAUUGGGAACAUGUAUUCUGUGAAGGAGCCACGACAAGAUAGAGAAGUCAAGAUGCAACCUACCUUGGCUGAUAAAAUGAAAUUAAGACCCACGUUCAAGCGCUCUUCCAAGAAACCAGCAACACAUCCAUCUUCCUUCUGAGACAACAUUGUAAUGAAUGCAUCAUAUUGAAACACUAUGUUAAAUUCAUG
RNAcentral lists this long non-coding RNA (7265 nucleotides) under Solanum tuberosum (potato). Its description in RNAcentral is "long non-coding RNA (STUB_LNC006076)". The record is from RNAcentral. Lineage: Eukaryota; Viridiplantae; Streptophyta; Magnoliopsida; Solanales; Solanaceae.